Molecule: long non-coding RNA, 342 nt
Organism: Cyanistes caeruleus (blue tit)
Lineage: Eukaryota; Metazoa; Chordata; Aves; Passeriformes; Paridae
Source: RefSeq, a predicted model, not a curated record
GCGGCAGGAACUGGGUUGCUGUGCCUCCAAACCUCUCUUGGAGACAGCCUGAGCUCAGCUGGGGUUUAGGCUGCCAGCCCAUUUUGUGCAUCCUGGUAAUGGGGUGUCCUUGCAGUGAGGUGUCCUUGCAGGAAAAGCCCUGAUCUGCACAGCCUGUGUGGCCUCAAUCCCAUAACAUUGCUGCAGAGACAGAGGAGUAUGGAGCUUGUCAGGAACUGUUGGAAGGUGACAGGGUGACCAAAGGAGGUAUCCUGGAGGAUACACGCUGCACCAAAGUGAAAACUGUGGUCUCCCUUUUUGUAAGUCAGAGGGAACAAAGUCAAAUACAUCAUUUAUUGCAAA